This 679-nucleotide ribosomal RNA is filed under the name Salmonella enterica subsp. enterica serovar Bovismorbificans. RNAcentral describes it as "partial 23S ribosomal RNA". It matches the Rfam family "Bacterial large subunit ribosomal RNA", at positions 593 to 1259 of the family's 2925-position model. The record is from RNAcentral. Lineage: Bacteria; Pseudomonadati; Pseudomonadota; Gammaproteobacteria; Enterobacterales; Enterobacteriaceae.
GUGACUGCGUACCUUUUGUAUAAUGGGUCAGCGACUUAUAUUCUGUAGCAAGGUUAACCGAAUAGGGGAGCCGGAGGGAAACCGAGUCUUAAUUGGGCGUUAAGUUGCAGGGUAUAGACCCGAAACCCGGUGAUCUAGCCAUGGGCAGGUUGAAGGUUGGGUAACACUAACUGGAGGACCGAACCGACUAAUGUUGAAAAAUUAGCGGAUGACCUGUGGCUGGGGGUGAAAGGCCAAUCAAACCGGGAGAUAGCUGGUUCUCCCCGAAAGCUAUUUAGGUAGCGCCUCGUGAAUUCAUCUCCGGGGGUAGAGCACUGUUUCGGCUAGGGGGCCAUCCCGGCUUACCAACCCGAUGCAAACUGCGAAUACCGGAGAAUGUUAUCACGGGAGACACACGGCGGGUGCUAACGUCCGUCGUGAAGAGGGAAACAACCCAGACCGCCAGCUAAGGUCCCAAAGUCAUGGUUAAGUGGGAAACGAUGUGGGAAGGCCCAGACAGCCAGGAUGUUGGCUUAGAAGCAGCCAUCAUUUAAAGAAAGCGUAAUAGCUCACUGGUCGAGUCGGCCUGCGCGGAAGAUGUAACGGGGCUAAACCAUGCACCGAAGCUGCGGCAGCGACCGUAUCACUUAAAGCGAUUCAGCGGAUGACGAUUGACGGAGCGAAGCGACGUCAAAGCUUA